RNAcentral lists this ribosomal RNA (399 nucleotides) under uncultured bacterium. RNAcentral describes it as "partial 16S ribosomal RNA". It matches the Rfam family "Bacterial small subunit ribosomal RNA", at positions 360 to 773 of the family's 1533-position model. The record is from RNAcentral.
AAUAUUGGGCAAUGGGCGCAAGCCUGACCCAGCAACGCCGCGUGAGGGAAGAAGGUCUUCGGAUUGUAAACCUCUGUCCUUGGGGACGAAAAAAAUGACGGUACCCAAGGAGGAAGCUCCGGCUAACUACGUGCCAGCAGCCGCGGUAAUACGUAGGGGGCAAGCGUGGUCCGGAAUGAUUGGGCGUAAAGGGUGCGUUGGCGGCCUUUUAAGUCAGAUGUGAAAGCCCACGGCUUAACCGUGGGACUGCAUUUGAAACUGGAGGGCUUGAGUAUCGGAGAGGGUAGUGGAAUUCCCAGUGUAGCGGUGGAAUGCGUAGAUAUUGGGAGGAACACCAGUGGCGAAGGCGACUACCUGGACGAAAACUGACGCUGAGGCACGAAAGCUAGGGGAGCAAAC